UUUAAGUGUAGACGUGAGUUUCUAUAUCCAACGUUUGAUCGUCCGUCUUAUUUGAAAUUUUUUAUGAUUAAUAUUUUUAUUGUUAUUAGACGAUAAAAAUAUGAAUAGUGUGCUUUAUGCGAGAUUUAUUUUUUUAUUUUUUCUUAUACUUUUAAAAUAAGAUGAACGAUCAAAUAUUAAACACGAAAUCCCAUGACAACACUUAAA
This is a non-coding RNA of Oryza nivara, 207 nucleotides long. NCBI's taxonomy places the organism in Eukaryota, Viridiplantae, Streptophyta, Magnoliopsida, Poales, Poaceae. The record is from Rfam.